UUGUGUUUGAAAUAAAGCUAUAACUUCCACGCAUAAUGAAAUGCGCCCCCCUCCUCCUGCCUGCCGAGGGCUACAGAGCUCCGCUGGGUGACACUCCUGCCUGUCACAGCCACUGCAGUGCCCAGGGCCCUCUCUGGCAAUCUCAGCUCCUCUCAUUUUGUGAAGACGUCACCAGCCUGUGAGCUAUCAGAGAACUUUCUGAAAAGGACAUUUCAGAGAAAGCAAAGCAGCUGUAUAGUACUCGAAUCUUUUAUUUCCUGACUAUUCUGUGUGUCAGAGAAGUGGACGCUGGAGAAAAACAUGGGGCUUGUUAUUACCGGCCU
This is a long non-coding RNA of Bubalus bubalis (water buffalo), 323 nucleotides long. RefSeq lists it as uncharacterized. NCBI's taxonomy places the organism in Eukaryota, Metazoa, Chordata, Mammalia, Artiodactyla, Bovidae. The transcript has 2 exons. The record is from RefSeq and is a predicted model, not a curated record.